GAUGAACGCUAGCGGCAGGCCUAACACAUGCAAGUCGAGGGGCAGCGAGGUGGUAGCAAUACCACUGUCGGCGACCGGCAAAGGGGUGCGUAACGCGUGAGCGACUUACCUGUCACAGGGGGAUAAUCGCCGGAAACGGUGUCUAACACCCCGUAAUAUAUAAGAUGGCAUCAUUGAAUAUUGAAAGUCGAGAGACGGUGAUAGAUAGGCUCGCGAGACAUUAGCUAGUUGGAGAGGCAACGGCUCACCAAGGCUACGAUGUCUAGGGGUUCUGAGAGGAAGAUCCCCCACACUGGGACUGAGACACGGCCCAGACUCCUACGGGAGGCAGCAGUGAGGAAUAUUGGACAAUGGGCGGAAGCCUGAUCCAGCCAUGCCGCGUGAAGGAAGGAGGUCCUAUGGAUCGUAAACUUCUUUUGACGCAGAGCAAUAAAGUGUACGAGUACACUGAUGAGAGUAUGCGUCGAAUAAGCAUCGGCUAACUCCGUGCCAGCAGCCGCGGUAAUACGGAGGAUGCGAGCGUUAUCCGGAUUUAUUGGGUUUAAAGGGUGCGUAGGCUGUGUACCAAGUCAGCGGUGAAAUACCUGUGCUUAACGCAGGCUGUGCCGUUGAAACUGGCAUGCUAGAAUACGGGAGCCGUGGGAGGAAUGUGUGGUGUAGCGGUGAAAUGCAUAGAUAUCACACAGAACACCGAUUGCGAAGGCAUCUCACGAUUCCGUAAUUGACGCUUAGGCACGAAAGCGUGGGUAUCGAACAGGAUUAGAUACCCUGGUAGUCCACGCAGUAAACGAUGAUGACUAACUGUCGGUGUCGAAGGGCAUCGGUGGCCAAGUGAAAGCGAUAAGUCAUCCACCUGGGGAGUACGACCGCAAGGUUGAAACUCAAAGGAAUUGACGGGGGCCCGCACAAGCGGAGGAACAUGUGGUUUAAUUCGAUGAUACGCGAGGAACCUUACCCAGGCUCGAACGGCAGAUGGAUACAUAAGAGAUUGUGUAGUCCUUCGGGACAUUUGUCGAGGUGCUGCAUGGUUGUCGUCAGCUCGUGCCGUGAGGUGUCGGCUUAAGUGCCAUAAUGAGCGCAACCCUUGCCGCCAGUUACCAACACGUAAAGGUGGGGACUCUGACGGGACUGCCACCGCAAGGUGCGAGGAAGGGGGGGAUGACGUCAAAUCAGCACGGCCCUUACGUCUGGGGCGACACACGUGUUACAAUGGCGACUACAGCGGGAAGCCACCCUGAGAGGGGGAGCAGAACCCGAAAGGUCGUCUCAGUUCGGACUGGAGUCUGCAACCCGACUCCACGAAGCUGGAUUCGCUAGUAAUCGCGCAUCAGCCAUGGCGCGGUGAAUACGUUCCCGGGCCU
This 1361-nucleotide ribosomal RNA is filed under the name uncultured bacterium. Its description in RNAcentral is "bacterial SSU rRNA". It matches the Rfam family "Bacterial small subunit ribosomal RNA", at positions 28 to 1381 of the family's 1533-position model. The record is from RNAcentral.